UAAUUAUCAUGAAAAGGAGCCAGCCUGACAAGCUCUGGGUGUUUAAUUUCAGAAGGGAAGCAGCACAUGUGGUGAGGACAUCUCCUUCAUGUUGUACAUCUAAGCUACCUUAUGGCUGAACCCAUGGGGUAGGAAAGAGGAACGGUGAUCUUAAGAAACCAAUCCAUGAGAGGCAAUCGAGAAUAACAGCUCUUAAUGAAAAACAAAAGCUGGCGGUACGGAGCUGCUCCGCCGCGGUGCUGGUGGGGACAGCAGGCGCUGGCAGCAGUACCGGCAACACCACCACCACUACUACCAACAGCGGCGGCUGUGCCGGGAGCAGCAGCACAGGCGGCGGCGGCGGU
RNAcentral lists this long non-coding RNA (344 nucleotides) under Pogona vitticeps (central bearded dragon). Its description in RNAcentral is "lncRNA (ENSPVIG00000010435.1)". The record is from RNAcentral. Lineage: Eukaryota; Metazoa; Chordata; Lepidosauria; Squamata; Agamidae.